Molecule: ribosomal RNA, 497 nt
Filed under: uncultured bacterium
Lineage: Bacteria
Description: partial 16S ribosomal RNA
Rfam family: Bacterial small subunit ribosomal RNA
Source: RNAcentral
GAUGAACGCUGGCGGCGUGCCUAAUACAUGCAAGUCGAGCGAACAGACGAGGAGCUUGCUCCUCUGACGUUAGCGGCGGACGGGUGAGUAACACGUGGAUAACCUACCUAUAAGACUGGGAUAACUUCGGGAAACCGGAGCUAAUACCGGAUAAUAUAUUGAACCGCAUGGUUCAAUAGUGAAAGACGGUUUUGCUGUCACUUAUAGAUGGAUCCGCGCCGCAUUAGCUAGUUGGUAAGGUAACGGCUUACCAAGGCAACGAUGCGUAGCCGACCUGAGAGGGUGGUCGGCCACACUGGAACUGAGACCCGGUCCAGACUCCUACGGGAGGCAGCAGUAGGGAAUCUUCGGCAAUGGGCGGAAGCCUGACGGAGCAACGCCGCGUGAGUGAUGAAGGUCUUCGGAUCGUAAAACUCUGUUAUUAGGGAAGAACAAAUGUGUAAGUAACUAUGCACGUCUUGACGGUACCUAAUCAGAAAGCCACGGCUAACUACGUG